This 343-nucleotide long non-coding RNA is filed under the name Medicago truncatula (barrel medic). RNAcentral describes it as "lncRNA gene45708". The record is from RNAcentral. Lineage: Eukaryota; Viridiplantae; Streptophyta; Magnoliopsida; Fabales; Fabaceae.
AAUUAAUAGCUAAUGGUUGGUGCUAUUAUUAUUCCAUUCAAAUGGUUUUGAAACAACCAAUUAAUAGCUAAUUGUUGGUGCUAUUUUUAUUCCGUUCAAGUGGUUUUGAAACCAAAUAAUAAUUGUUUAUGGGAUUUUUUUUGCCCAUUAAAAUAAUUAUUGUCUUCAAAAAAAAAUUGUGGAUCUAAUUAUUCUCUCUUUUUAUUUUUUUUAAAAUGACCUUAGAAUUAUUUCAAUUGAGUUAAUGAACCUAUCGCGCCGUUCGUGAACUUUAAAUGAGCCGAACUUGAGCUAAAAAAAAGGUUCGUGUCGAACUCAAGUCGAGUUUCGAGCCGAACCAUUU